UGGGGAAUAUUGGACAAUGGGCGAAAGCCUGAUCCAGCCAUGCCGCGUGAGUGAAGAAGGCCUUCGGGUUGUAAAGCUCUUUUAGUCGGAAAGAAAGAGUUGCAAUGAAUAAUUGUGAUUUAUGACGGUACCGACAGAAAAAGCACCGGCUAACUACGUGCCAGCAGCCGCGGUAAUACGUAGGGUGCGAGCGUUAAUCGGAAUUACUGGGCGUAAAGGGUGCGCAGGCGGUCUUGCAAGUCAGAUGUGAAAGCCCCGGGAUUAACCUGGGAAUUGCGUUUGAAACUACAAGGCUAGAGUGCAGCAGAGGGGAGUGGAAUUCCAUGUGUAGCAGUGAAAUGCGUAGAGAUGUGGAAGAACACCGAUGGCGAAGGCAGCUCCCUGGGUUGACACUGACGCUCAUGCACGAAAGCGUGGGGAGCAAACA
RNAcentral lists this ribosomal RNA (427 nucleotides) under uncultured beta proteobacterium. RNAcentral describes it as "bacterial SSU rRNA". It matches the Rfam family "Bacterial small subunit ribosomal RNA", at positions 355 to 774 of the family's 1533-position model. Lineage: Bacteria; Pseudomonadati; Pseudomonadota; Betaproteobacteria. The record is from RNAcentral.